ACUUGUGUCGCAGUAAGAUACU
Molecule: microRNA, 22 nt
Filed under: Parasteatoda tepidariorum (common house spider)
Lineage: Eukaryota; Metazoa; Arthropoda; Arachnida; Araneae; Theridiidae
Description: pte-miR-11949-3p
Source: miRBase by way of RNAcentral